ACGUAGGGGGCAAGCGUUAUCCGGAAUUAUUGGGCGUAAAGAGUGCGUAGGUGGUUUUUUAAGCGUGAGGUGAAAGGCAAUAGCUUAACUAUUGUAAGCCUUGCGAACUGGAAGACUUGAGUGCAGGAGAGGAAAGUGGAAUUCCUAGUGUAGCGGUUUAAUGCGUAGAUAUUAGCAGUGACACCAGAAGCGAUGGCGACCAACCAGACUGUAACAGCCCCUUAGGCACGAAACUGUCGGGAGCAAGGAG
This 250-nucleotide ribosomal RNA is filed under the name uncultured prokaryote. RNAcentral describes it as "partial 16S rRNA". It matches the Rfam family "Bacterial small subunit ribosomal RNA", at positions 525 to 775 of the family's 1533-position model. The record is from RNAcentral.